Molecule: ribosomal RNA, 634 nt
Filed under: Triticum aestivum (bread wheat)
Lineage: Eukaryota; Viridiplantae; Streptophyta; Magnoliopsida; Poales; Poaceae
Description: partial small subunit ribosomal RNA
Source: RNAcentral
GAAUAGGAGAGUGUGCUUGUGCUCGUGGUAUGGUCGUCGUCGCGUGAGCUCAUGGAAGAUCCGAGAGGCGGCGACUGGCGGCGGCCGACGCGCUGCCCGGCAGCGGGCGCGGAGGGUGGUGUCGUGCGGCGUUACCUCCGGCUCGCGGGUACCGCAGUGGGCUCCUGUGGAAGCUCGGCGGCAAGAGGAAGUUUAAGCAGCCCUAGGUCGGACUAGGCCUGCCUAGGCCUACGGCCGCCGGGUAAGGGCUGGAGGGACGGAGCGGACCAAACAGCCGGUGAGGCUACAGCAGUAGAAACAGUGCCCUAGGUCGCGAUGGCUACCGACCGGAGGAGGAGCGGACCUACACUGGGGGGUGCGACAGCGGAGGUUAGGUUCGUCGCCGUCGCUUGUGGAGCUGUUCCCGUCAAACGGUCUAGUCACCGGUCUCUUUUCGGUACCGCUACUUCAGACUAACUACUAGGCGCUCGCGAGCCGCCGCGAACUACACCACCUACGUCUUAUCAUAUCGAGGCCCAUCUCAUGAUCCGGUCUAGACCUUUUUUUAGACAUGAAGGUAAAAAACAACACAUAAAGAAGGAAAAAACUAUUUCUUCAAUACAUAUACCAUAUAUAUAUAUAUAUACGUUUGAGG